RNAcentral lists this long non-coding RNA (1197 nucleotides) under Cyanistes caeruleus (blue tit). RNAcentral describes it as "lncRNA (ENSCCEG00000016777.1)". The record is from RNAcentral. Lineage: Eukaryota; Metazoa; Chordata; Aves; Passeriformes; Paridae.
AUGGCCAUGGUCACCCAGAGCCAUGGUCACCUCAUGGCCAUGGGCACCUCAUGGCCAUGGUCACCCAGAGCCAUGGUCACCUCAUGGCCAUGGUCACCCAGAGCCAUGGUCACCUCAUGGCCAUGGUCACCCAGAGCCAUGGUCACCUCAUGGUCAUGGUCACCUCAUGGCCAUGGUCACCCAGAGCAACAGUCACCACACAACCACGAUCAUCUCAUGGCCAUGGACACCCAGAGUCAUGGUCACCUCAUGGCCAUGGUCACCUCAUGGCCGUGGUCACCUCAUGGUCAUGGUCACCACACAACCAUGGUCACCCAGAGCCAUGGUCACCUCAUGGUCAUGGUCACCCAGAGCAACGGUCACCACACAACCACGGUCAUCUCAUGGCCAUGGACACCCAGAGUCAUGGUCACCUCAUGGUCAUGGUCACCACAAAACCAUGGUCACCUCAUGGUCAUGGUCACCCAGAGCCAUGGUCACCUCAUGGCCAUGGUCACCUCAGAUCCACGAUCACCUCAGAGGCACGGCCACAGAUCUUCGUGCUAUGGCUACCUCAGAGCCACGGCCAGUUGCCUUCAGACCUUGGUCACCUCAGAGACACGGUCACCUACAGAAGGGCAUGGCCACGAUAACGUCAGGACUCUUGGUCAUCAUCAAGACGACCACGGAGUCCCUUUGGUCAUCUCGGGGUCACAGCCCCACAGAAGGUGUGUGGCCCCACAGUGUGAACCUGAGCACGUGCAGAAAAAACCUCAUUUGUGCAAAUUCCAUGGGAUGGGCACGGUGUCUCCACACGGAUCUGCCCUGGGAGCGUUCCCCUCCCCACCCCAGGGAAGUGUCUCGCUCCCAAACGUGCUUCAAACCAAUUCACUCCAUGUCCACAUGUUCCCUUGGAACAUUCCCAUGGAAUUCCCACGCUCCAGCCACACCAAGAGUCAAUCCACACAAAAGGGAGAUGGACACACAACAGAACCCUCUGCUACAGACCCAGCCCAGCAGCCUCCACACCCUCAAUCCCAAAAAAAAAAGGAAUUUUCUGGGACCCACUCACCCCCCUUGCCGUGCACCCUCACGAACCCAAGGAUUUUGCACCAAAAAGAGAGGAAUCCUACCUUGUGGAAGGUUAAUAUUGUGACAGAAAGGCAGGGAGCUUUCAAAACAGAGAUUAUUUUAAACACUGGCCCUGUUUUUUGCUGA